Molecule: non-coding RNA, 26 nt
Filed under: Mus musculus (house mouse)
Lineage: Eukaryota; Metazoa; Chordata; Mammalia; Rodentia; Muridae
Source: RNAcentral
UUCCUAGUCCUCCUGUCUCAGCCUCA